Molecule: ribosomal RNA, 497 nt
Filed under: uncultured bacterium
Lineage: Bacteria
Description: partial 16S ribosomal RNA
Rfam family: Bacterial small subunit ribosomal RNA
Source: RNAcentral
GAUGAACGCUGGCGGCGUGCCUAAUACAUGCAAGUCGAGCGAACAGACGAGGAGCUUGCUCCUUUGACGUUAGCGGCGGACGGGUGAGUAACACGUGGGUAACCUACCUAUAAGACUGGGAUAACUUCGGGAAACCGGAGCUAAUACCGGAUAAUAUUUCGAACCGCAUGGUUCGAUAGUGAAAGAUGGCUUUGCUUUCACUUAUAGAUGGACCUGCGCCGUAUUAGCUAGUUGGUAAGGUAACGGCUUACCAAGGCAACGAUACGUAGCCGACCUGAGAGGGUGAUCGGCCACACUGGAACUGAGACACGGUCCAGACUCCUACGGGAGGCAGCAGUAGGGAAUCUUCCGCAAUGGGCGAAAGCCUGACGGAGCAACGCCGCGUGAGUGAUGAAGGUCUUCGGAUCGUAAAACUCUGUUAUUAGGGAAGAACAAACGUGUAAGUAACUGUGCACGUCUUGACGGUACCUAAUCAGAAAGCCACGGCUAACUACGUG